AUGAAGAUUUUAUCAUGGAAUUGCAACGGGCUCGGGAAUGCCCCGGCGGUGCGAGUGUUGUUGGAUGUCCAGCGAGUAUGUAACCCGGAUGUGAUGUUUUUGUCAGAGACUCGCCUCGAUAGCUAUCCGGCAGAGUGCUUGAGGAGGAAACUGAAGAUGGAUCAGAAGUUUGUUUGCCCAAGUGAUGGAAGGAAGGGUGGACUGUUGCUAUUUUGGAAGAUAAACGUGAAGAUUAGUAGGCUUGAUCUUAACCCGAUGUUCAUUGAUGUGAGGAUUGAUCAAGGCAAUAAUAAUUUUUGGAGAUUAACUGAGAUGUAUGGUGAAUUUAGAUGGGAAAAUAAAUAUAAAACAUGGGAUCGCAUGAGAGCUUUGAACCAAAACCAUACAAUGCCAUGGCUGGUGAUUAGGGACCUUAAUGAGAUCUAG
Molecule: ribosomal RNA, 426 nt
Filed under: Triticum aestivum (bread wheat)
Lineage: Eukaryota; Viridiplantae; Streptophyta; Magnoliopsida; Poales; Poaceae
Description: partial small subunit ribosomal RNA
Source: RNAcentral